Small nuclear RNA from Otolemur garnettii (small-eared galago), 98 nucleotides. The record is from Ensembl. Lineage: Eukaryota; Metazoa; Chordata; Mammalia; Primates; Galagidae.
GUGCUUGCUUCGGUAGCACAUAUACUAAAACUGGAAUAAUACGGAGAAGACUAGCAUGGCCCCUCACAAGGAUGAUCCAAACCAAUUUCUCCUUAAAU